CUCAAAUCAAGGUUCUAAGGAUAAAAAUUUAAAGGUAGGCUUGAAAGGCUCAAACGGUUCAAAGAAGGCCCAAAUCACAUCCCAAAUCGCUUAUUACCCAACACUUCGUAUCAUAAAUGUCUUAAGGUGAGAUUUAAAACCGAACAAAGCAUGAUUGAGCACAAAUAAAUUCCAAAUUUAAAAUGCAAAACAUUCAACCAAAGCAAUGCAUAAGGUGUGAUUCCUAGCAAUAAUUCACUUCUACGUUCCGUUGAAUCGAAAGCUAAACAAAUACUAAUUCCUUA
Molecule: long non-coding RNA, 284 nt
Filed under: Erythranthe guttata (spotted monkey flower)
Lineage: Eukaryota; Viridiplantae; Streptophyta; Magnoliopsida; Lamiales; Phrymaceae
Description: long non-coding RNA (EGUT_LNC001280)
Source: RNAcentral